CCAACAUUCGCCGUGCCCACAAUCCCACCGACACCAAAACCCUAGCCAAUCUAGUGGAGGCGCUGUUAGCGGCGGGAAGACUCGCCACCAACAUCGCCAUCGCCCUCUGCUUUGCGCUACGCCCCUCUCCUAUCCCGACAACGCUAUGGCGUCCUCGACGACCACUCCAUUGAAGACAGACGGUUGGUCUCUCUCCCUCUUCCUCUCUAGGUAGUUUCGGUUUAGAUGAGAGUCAUGUUGU
RNAcentral lists this long non-coding RNA (241 nucleotides) under Setaria italica (foxtail millet). Its description in RNAcentral is "long non-coding RNA (SITA_LNC003778)". Lineage: Eukaryota; Viridiplantae; Streptophyta; Magnoliopsida; Poales; Poaceae. The record is from RNAcentral.